AGAAAAUGAAGCCGCAGCUAGCAAGCUAAAUGGACGACGAGGAGGAUAACGAUGGUAAGAGUAAUAAAUACGCCUGAGUCACUUAAUAAUGUCUUGUGUCCAACCUAGUAGAAUGAUUAUUACAUUUCAAACGAAACUUGAACUUUGAGAGUGUUUAAACAUGAAAGAAAAUGUUAAUGCCCGUCAAAAUGUUAAUGCUAUGAAGUGUAUUUUCAGGGAUUUUACUGUCGUAAACAUACAUAUGAUAAUUGUAAACAAAUGAAGUUGGCUACUUCACUGAUUUCACCUAUUGCAGGCUGUUAUGAGAACCUAUCCCCUGUGAUAAACAAGGGGAUACUUUGAAUGGGGACACAUUUUACUCCACAUAUUCGCUAAAAAUGUCUUGAGUAUUUUCAAGUCAUCAGAUUAAAGUCGGAGUCAGGUCCUGACUUGAGUCUGACUCGAGGCCAAGUCGCAUGACUUGAGUCCACACCUCUGCUGUAUACCAUCUAUUUAUAUUCAUGCAGCAUUGCUUUCCAAUAUGACUGACAACAAGUGUCAACAAGAUGAUUACAUACUGGUUAACAUUUGAAAAUCAAAGUCAAGUAUAAUCCAUAUAUAGUAGUGCAUAGUGCGGAUAUAUAAAGUGUAAUAAUGAGCACAUUAAAUAGAAGUUAUAGAAAUGAAAUGCAGUCUUUGUUUAUAAAGAUAAAGGGUCAUUCCAUUCAUGUUCCUUCAGAGUCUCCACUUGGUGUGGAUUUCUGUAUUUGCUUUCUUGAUUUUUGUUUCCCAGCAGGCGUUUAGAAUAAGGGGACAUCCAGUCUCUUUCAAAGGCAGCUUUGACUUGUUCCAUGAGUUUCCCUCCCUGGUUUUUCAUCUGGACCACCAGCCCAACUCCGCCAUUAUCAGAAAAAUCAUUUCCAACCCAGUCGUGGUUCCCUGUGGAGGCAAAACAUGAAUUUUGCUGCUUCACUUUCUUACAUUUUUUCAAAAUAAUAUUAAUUAAUACAUCAUGCUGUUUAGUGGCUGAUAUCAUGAUGGUUUAAUUUAUUUCAAACAUGCAUACAUUUCAUGUUACAAUUUAGAAUUCCACAUUUCCGAAUAUGGACAUUAGUUAAAAAAAAUAGGCAUUAUUUUAUUAUGUAAUAAUCAUGCAAAAUACAUUGCCUACCAACGUAAAGAGCGUUGUCGGUCACCAUGUACUUGUUGUGAUUAAGUCCAUGUUGAAUGUCGUCCAUCUGCUGCUUGUGACUGAAAAAUCUCUGGAAUCAUAUAUAUACUGUAUACAGUCCAAGACCAGUUGAAAAAUGUACAUUUUGCACUGUUGUAUUUGUUUCAAAAGGCAAAAUGAAAAAAAGUUGUAAGUAACAAAUAUUAGUGAAAUAGGCCGUUCAUCAGCUGAUUAAAAGUUCAAGACUACAGCCUCUAAAUGCCACAAAAAUGUGAAUUCCAUGUCAUUUUCUAAAUUAAUGUUGUUACUGGUGCAGAGUGCAAUACAACAACCAUCAUGCGGCAUCUGAAAAAUAAGUGUUUUAAGAACCAAAAGCAUUUACAAAGGCUUUGUCUCCAAAAUUGAAUUUUGCACAAGAGCACCAAAACAUGGGACAUUGAAAGGUGGAAGAAAGUUUUACUCUCUGAUGUGGAAAAAAUGUAACCUUGACGGUCCUGAUGGCUUCCAAUGUAACUGAUAUGACAAGGAGAUCCCAAUUGAGAUGUUUUCUGCACACGCCACAGUGGAAGGGCCACCAUCAUGAUCCUUCAGUGGAAAAAUUUUAACUUUUUUCAACAGGAUAAGGCUUCAGUUCGCAAUGCCUGCCUGCCUGCCUGAGAAAUGACUUCUUCUGAAGGAAUAACCUCAUUUUUUUCCCCAUCCUGCAUGUUCCCCUGGCGUUAAUCCAAUUGAGAACAUUUGCUGAUGGAUGGCAAGGAAAAAUUACACAAAUGGACAUCAGUUCCAGACAGUGGAUGCCCGCCUUGAAGCCACCUUCACCAACUGGAACAACAUUCCCAGCUACUUUUUUUACAUUUAAUUUUUGUUUUAUUUACAUAUUUGUAUGUUUUUUCUAGUGAUAGUAUUGAACAUUUGAUAAGCAAAUGAACAGCCUAUUUCAGUUUAAUGGUUGUUUGCAAUUGCUUACUCAAAAUUUUUUUGUCUCACUCCUAUUUCUUAUUUUUGCAUUUUUAAGCUCUACUGAGAAUCUCCUAUAAGUGUAAGUCAAUAAAUUCAGUAUCCUGUCCAUUCACAGACGUACAUAGAGAGGAGUUCACGUACGUACCACAUCCAGCGAACAGUUGUACAGGUGGAUGCACAGUGACCUGAGAGAGGUGGCAAAGUUAAAGGUGAGCUGGUGAGUGUUCUUCCAGAAGCUUAUCAGCAGGCGAACUUUGACCCCUCUCAGAACCACAGCCUCUCUAAUCAUCUCAUCAAGGUGGGACCAGUACCUAUUGAUAGAGACAUUUUAAUUAGAUGAAUCCUUCACUGGCAGGAUAAAGAAAAGUUCAUCUGCUGUGCUUAUUUUGCACAAGCAGCAACCCAAAGCCAGUCCCAAGGUGUUCAAAUAUGCAAGUACUGACAUAAAUGAGCAUGUCACAUGAAGCAUAGUUUUAAAAAAAUUCAAAGCUCAGUACCUGGUGACCAAGUUUCCUCUGAAGCGCCUGCUCACCAGAGGGAGGUAGUCCGUCACGGAAAUGAAGACAAAUGUCUUGGCAGUCUGCAUGACAUGAUAUAUGGCAUCCACAUCUCUAGUGCGAUCUUUUGCACAGAAGAGAUCAGGGGAGGACUGCAGAGAGCAAACAUCAGUCAGAACAUCUCACCGGCAGUCAGUGUGGCAGUUCUCCUCCGUGAUUCCAUCCUCGCUAUCCCCCCAAAUGUCAACGGAAGAGAAGAUCAGCACCAAUAGCACAGCGAAGCAGCACAGCAGGGCAAAGAUGGCGAUGCACUUUUGCUGUGUCUUGACAGAUCAUCGGAGUCCUCCUCUGGAGCCAGACCAGUUGGCUGGGCCUGAACCCAUCAGCCUCAAGAGGAGGGAGGUGGGACCAAAGGGGUCGAAGAUGAGUGGCAGUCAAAAGUGGUGACCUUGGCGAAGCUGGUUGAAAAACAUCAGUAGUCCAGGUGUACGGAAACUCACCUCGUCUCUGUUCCACGUCUGUCGGCGAAUGGAGCGAGACCCCUGCGACGUACAAGAUCUCGGUCUCAGUUCAACCGACGUCCCGUUACUUUCCAGGAUGCUGUUAUGAUCUGUGGAGGGACCCCCUUUGUCCAAGCUGUCAUCACAGCCGUGCUCCUUCAACUUGGACACAAUAAUACAGAUUCAGGUUAUUCCAAUGAUUUGACGGGGGGAUCUGCCCCAUUUGCAUUUAUAUUACAUACAGAGCAUCUGAAUCUGAAUCAACUUUUUGCUGUACUUGAAAAUAUUAUGACAAUACCAAGACUCCAGAAUCAGUGGCUGCUGGGCUCACUGUGUCAAUUUCACCAGCUACGUCGUGAAUCUCUCGUGCAAGCAUG
Molecule: non-coding RNA, 3484 nt
Organism: Doryrhamphus excisus (bluestripe pipefish)
Lineage: Eukaryota; Metazoa; Chordata; Actinopteri; Syngnathiformes; Syngnathidae
Source: RefSeq, a predicted model, not a curated record